Long non-coding RNA from Numida meleagris (helmeted guineafowl), 160 nucleotides. RefSeq lists it as uncharacterized. The transcript has 3 exons. The record is from RefSeq and is a predicted model, not a curated record. NCBI's taxonomy places the organism in Eukaryota, Metazoa, Chordata, Aves, Galliformes, Numididae.
GAUGUCUGCUUGGAGUUUUGUUCUUUUGUAGUAUUUUGUGAGUUUUUUCCCUCAAAUAGGGCCUGUACUGUGUUGAGGUUUAGUCAUCAGGUGGGGAGACAGAGGGCCUGCAAAGUAACCAGCUUGUGACAUAUCCUGGGGUAUUGGAUAAGGACAGAAC